This 550-nucleotide ribosomal RNA is filed under the name Anaplasma platys. RNAcentral describes it as "bacterial SSU rRNA". It matches the Rfam family "Bacterial small subunit ribosomal RNA", at positions 76 to 658 of the family's 1533-position model. The record is from RNAcentral. Lineage: Bacteria; Pseudomonadati; Pseudomonadota; Alphaproteobacteria; Rickettsiales; Anaplasmataceae.
UAGCUUGCUAUGAUAAAAAUUAGUGGCAGACGGGUGAGUAAUGCAUAGGAAUCUACCUAGUAGUAUGGGAUAGCCACUAGAAAUGGUGGGUAAUACUGUAUAAUCCCUGCGGGGGAAAGAUUUAUCGCUAUUAGAUGAGCCUAUGUUAGAUUAGCUAGUUGGUAGGGUAAAGGCCUACCAAGGCAGUGAUCUAUAGCUGGUCUGAGAGGAUGAUCAGCCACACUGGAACUGAGAUACGGUCCAGACUCCUACGGGAGGCAGCAGUGGGGAAUAUUGGACAAUGGGCGCAAGCCUGAUCCAGCUAUGCCGCGUGAGUGAGGAAGGCCUUAGGGUUGUAAAACUCUUUCAGUGGGGAAGAUAAUGACGGUACCCACAGAAGAAGUCCCGGCAAACUCCGUGCCAGCAGCCGCGGUAAUACGGAGGGGGCAAGCGUUGUUCGGAAUUAUUGGGCGUAAAGGGCAUGUAGGCGGUUCGGUAAGUUAAAGGUGAAAUGCCAGGGCUUAACCCUGGAGCUGCUUUUAAUACUGCCAGACUCGAGUCCGGGAGAGGA